AUCAAUAUUUUGUUUCGGAAUAACACAAACCACAGUCAUCUGUCACAGUUUCUCUCAUCAAAAUGGGUUUAGUAAAAUCUCUGCUACUAUUGUUCGUUUUUAUGCUCACAAUUCAGAUAAUUACCUGCCAUUGGUACGGCAGGUUCGGCUACCCCCCACCUCCGCCUCCACCCCCGCCGGGCAUAUUUGGGGGGUUUGGAUACGGCGGAUUUUACAGACCAUACCCACAGAUUAUAAUCGCGCCACCACCCCCACCGUUCUUCGGUUGAUAUAAGCUUCGGCCGUUGCGACUUCUAACACUUCUGGCCUAGAUUCUAAUACCGUUGUUAUGUAAAUGGUUGUAUUAAUUUUACGAUAAUUGUAUAUUUGUAAGAUAUAAUAAUAAAUGUUAAUGUGU
Molecule: long non-coding RNA, 397 nt
Organism: Vanessa tameamea
Lineage: Eukaryota; Metazoa; Arthropoda; Insecta; Lepidoptera; Nymphalidae
Exons: 2
Source: RefSeq, a predicted model, not a curated record